ACUGCUGCCUUUAACUCUCGGUCACUCUAAAUAUAGACUUAUAACUUUCUUGAACGCCCCUCACUCUCUCUCUCUCUCUCUCUCUCUCUCUCUCACUCUCUCACUUCUCUCUCUCUCUCUCUCUCUCUCUCUCUCUCUCUCUCUCUCUCUCUCUCUCUCUGUCUCUCAUGUUUCCAUGACUCAUUGGUGACACACGCACACUCUCUACAGCAGAAGCUGCAGCCUCUCUGUGAUGCAAUCUCUCCUUCUUUGCACAUACAGACUCCGUUUAGUGUUACAUAGGAAACACUGAGAACGUUUUAAACAAUCUAGAUCUACACAGUUUGGACUGCACACCCGUGGCUGGCGUGGCUCGGAGUUGUCGCUGUUCUCCUGGACGAUGCACAUAUCCAAUACCACUUGAUGCACAUCCAGGCCGACAGUAUGAAGACUGUGUGGCAGCCUUGAAUACAAAGUGAAUGAAACUAUAUCAGCCUUCACAAGCUCUGGUGAGUGAAUUGUGUUACAGUAAAUUUGUGCUACACUUAGGGACUGUGAAAGAAUAUGGAAACUGAGGAGUUGUUUAUGUCUUAUUAGAUCAGUUGUUGUGGCUUCUACUCAUUCCUCUGAUUUUGGGAGUCAUCCUUAUCUGCUACAGCUGUCGCAAAUCACUCUGCAGGUCUAGAGGCCCUUCUGGACAAAGAGAGAAUGAGCUUGCAACACUGACCCCCAACAAGUCAGUUGACCCUUACUCGCCAAUAAGCUUUGAUGAGGCACCUAACCACAACAAACCCCUUAUCCCAGAUGGAACACUGAAUGGCAACACAGCACUGAACCUUAAUAUGUCAAUUAACCCCAACUCUCCAAAUUCCACCUCAACAGGGUACUAAACAACAAAAACAACUAAACAUCAGCACAACAC
Molecule: long non-coding RNA, 901 nt
Organism: Pygocentrus nattereri (red-bellied piranha)
Lineage: Eukaryota; Metazoa; Chordata; Actinopteri; Characiformes; Serrasalmidae
Source: Ensembl